RNAcentral lists this long non-coding RNA (800 nucleotides) under Pan troglodytes (chimpanzee). RNAcentral's name for it is "long non-coding RNA NONPTRT016697". The record is from RNAcentral. Lineage: Eukaryota; Metazoa; Chordata; Mammalia; Primates; Hominidae.
UUUAGGAAUGCAAGCUCAAAGGCCACCACCCCUUUUGUAAUAGCCUAUUAUAGGGUGUCCUGGAGUUUUUUAUGAUGUACUCUAAAUUAUAUUUUGAUAUUGAUCAUAACUAGAAAAUCAUAUAAGGGUAUUCUAGAUCAUGCUAUGGAUGGCUAAUUUAUAACGUAGCACUAUUAUAUUAAGGUAUACACUGCAUGUACAUCUGUGUUUCGAUUUGUGUUGACAUUGGUAGAACUUGCCUUACACUUGCUAAAUGAACAAAUCUCAGGGAUGGACUCAUGUAGAUGAUGUAGCUGGGUCCAGUAAAGGCCAAAUGGCCUUAUAGUUUGCCAUACGGAGGUUUUAUAAUGGACUGAUUAGAGAAAAGUUCAGGGAGAAUUGAGUUUCUAUGUGCUACAAUGGUGCUAGAGUCUGAAUGUCUGUGUUCCCCCAAAGUUCUACUGUUGAAGCCCUAUCUCCCAAGGUGAUGGUAUGAGAAGGUGGGGCUUUGGGCGAGGUGAUUAGGUUAUGAAGAUAGAGUUCUCAUUAAUGGGAUUAGUGAAUUCACCCCUUCUAGUUGGUGAGGACACAGCAACAAGUGUGCCGUCUAUGAACCAGAAUGCUGGCCCUCGCCAAACAUUAAAUCUGCUGGCAUGCUAAUCUUGGGCUUCUCAGCCUUCAGAAAAGUUUGUGGGAAAUAAGUUUAUGUUGUUUAUAAACCACCCAUUCUAGGCAAGGAUACAAGGUAAUAUAAAUAUGUCAAACUGAAAAGAACCUGCACCCCGAUAGUUUGUACACUGGGAAGUCAUGAUUUAUAUUCA